This is a non-coding RNA of Podarcis lilfordi (Lilford's wall lizard), 4397 nucleotides long. The record is from the annotation of a GenBank genome assembly. Lineage: Eukaryota; Metazoa; Chordata; Lepidosauria; Squamata; Lacertidae.
UCCAGUCAGCUUCUGUAUGUGGAAGGGAAAGUGCGAUCUUGUUCCUUGGCCCAGUUCCAAAAUAUCUUGAGCUGGUUCUCUGUGCCUUUUGACACAAAAAGUAAAACUGAAAAAAGUUCAGGCCUGCUUUAAUCUUACAUGCCAUAGGUGACCAGGCUUAAAAACAACUCUGGGUCAUACCCCUAAAUUUAGUUACUAUAUUGAACCUUCAAGUAAGUUUUCUUUCCUCCCAAAAACACUUCUGUCAGCUGAUUAGUGACUGUGAUAUUAGUUCCCAUAAUGUAAGCAAGUGAAGUUUUUCCUCUGCAAUUUCUUAUGAUUUUUUGAGUCAAGAAUGUAAUUAAAUUGAUGAUACCUCUUGAGUAUUUAGUUGCAUACUCUGCAGCCUCUGUACAGAUGUAGAAUGACUGUUAAUGGGGGGAAAUGAAAGUAGUUGUUUUUACAUGUUCUGCCCUUGUAUUAGUUUCAUAAAACUAAUUUCUUCAUUUCAGAAACCAGAUUCACACAUAGGCACAUAAUGCAGUUUAGAUGCACUGCGAUCAGUCUUCUGGUAUACAACAGGUCAGAGUAAGGGAGAAGAAAAUGAAAAUGAAAUUGAGAACAAGAGAGAGGAAUAAAAGUGAGCGUGUCUUGAAUCAAGUUAUUUAAUCCAUAUUUGGCUGACUAGUUUUGCUUCUUUGAGAAAAAAAAAGUAUAGCUGCUGAUAAAAUUAAUACCUCAAUGUGUACGUGCAUUUAAUGUCUCUCUUUCAUUAAGCAGUUUUACUAAUCCGUGUAGCUUUUUUAAAAAAAAUUAGGCAAUAGCUUCAUGUUCAAAUGCAGUUAGAGAAAGGUUGUUUUUUUAAAAAGUUUUCUGAAAUAUUCUAACGAAUUUUUCAGGAAAGUGUUGAAUUCAAUUAUGAUAAGCUCUGUUUAAAACCUGAAGUUUGAGUAAGAUUCAUAUAUUGGCAUGAACAUUUGAUACCAAAGCAGCAAAAAAUACUUGGAUGCAAAGGGCAGGAUGCAACUACGUUGUGUUCACAAAAUAUGGCCUUCUUCCCCCCUCUCUUCCCCCUGUGCCACCCUAAAUCUUCUCUGGAGAGUGGUGGGAACCCCCAGAAGAGGUUUAGGGGGAAGUCCCAUUGUGCAAGGAGACCUCAUUCCCCUGACACAUACCCCCCCCCAGCAAUGUGUUAAAUUGCACCCUGCAUACCAAUUUGUCUGAUACCUAUUUUAAAACAACUACAAAAAUGGAAUAAUGUAAUGGUGUAUUCAAAAUUGAGAGAAUUAUUUCAAAGAAUUCUCUGUGGUAUCAUGUUGCAUAGUUGAGUUAACUUCAUAAACAUAGUUUCUCUUAGAUGCAAUUCUAACUCAAGUCAGAGUUGCAUCUAGACAAAAAUCACUUGAGCUGAGUUUGCUCAUGAAGCCCUAGAGUUUUCUGCACGGUCCACCAUCUGGGGUGCCAGGCUUUAACUACAGUACUUUGUUCCAGUUUAAAGGUCUGAAAUAUUUAUCCCUACCAUACACUCUGCCCAAGAAGGAGGUAUGUUCAAAGGCCUUUAGCCAAUAGCCCCUGGAACAUUUCCCUUGGCUGUGGAGUGUAUAUGUUGCAUUAGCAGGCCUCCUCUUAUAUCUAAAGUACUCCCAUGGUAUUGUACAUCUGUAUGCCUUUAGUUUUCUUAAAGCAGAAGAGACUCUUAAUCCCUGCACAUUGCAUUCACCACAGGCUGCUAACUGCUCUUGAAAAUCUUAAGGGGAAAAAUAGUUAUAGGUAAGGCAAUGGGGUGUCAUUAAGAUAUGUAUUUUACAAAGAGAGGAUGGGGAAUCAUAGUUAAGGUACUUGUUUUGUCAUAUCAAAGUACUGAUUGGCUUGUUGGAUGAUAGGGUUCCAGAAUCAAAUAGAGAAGUGGUUCACGGUUACAGUGGUCACAUUCAAAGGAGGUGUCAUGGACUGGUUGAAUGCAGAGGAAUGGUGGGAGGUACCAGCUGGGGAACCCCCAAGGGAAUCAUAGAAUGGUAGAGGCGGAAGAGACCCUGAGGACCACCAACCCCCUGCAAUGCAGGAAUAUGCAGUUAUCCUAUACAGGGAUUGAACCUGCAACUUUGGUAUUAUCAAGAAGGCUCAGAGCCUGGGGAGUAGUGGUGGGACAAUGAUGAGGGGGAAGAGAUGUCGGUAGCUGAAGGUGUAACAGGGCUUAGUGAGCUGGGAGAGUCUGUGGCAGAGAGAAGUCAAGAAUUAGAAGCUGAAGCUGGCGAGUGGGACAAGGGAGGUCAAAAGGCAGAGGGGAGUCAGGCUGGUGAAGAGUCACAGGUGUCUCCCCCUUCUGCAACAAGUCUCCCACCCCCUGUUUCCCAGAACCAGCAGAGGCAUGAAAAUGGCAGAGGAGAGAUUGGCCGUGUGCAGGCACAGUCUCCAGUUGUUUGCAAAGAGCCCUGAAGAGAAGGGGACAUAAACUGCUGUGGGGAGCUGGGGACCUUCAGUCUCAGCAACUGAUUUCAUGGAGGAAGACCCACUAGGAAUGAGCUCAUUAGGCCUGAUACUCUGCCAAGCCUGUGGAGAUCGUAUUUUUGCUAAUAAAGAGUUAACUCCAACCUUGAAGUGUGUGAUUACUGACCAGCAUGCUCUGCGACAGGAGGACGGGGUUUUCUGUUUCUUAUAGCAGUUGUGUUGAAGAGGAAAUGUAUGGAUGCAGCAGUUUUCACUCAAAAUUUCAAGCUGCAUUUGCUAAAACUCCCCUUUCAACAUAGCCGUUAAAGAUACAGACAGCAGUAUCUUGCUUUUCCUUGACUGAUCUAUUCCUGUACAUAUAAUUUGUAUCUAUUGCACUUAUACUCACCAACCAAAAUCUGCUUCUGCAUGUGAGAUAUAUAGGAGCUGCAUGAAAAUGGGGAGAUCCUACUAAUCAGGGUAAGAAUUAUAUUUCCCUUCUCUGUGUAUAUGCCUGGUGAACUUAAUGUAUUAGGUCCAUCUCAUGCAAGUAUGGUUGAAGUGUAUUAUGAAGACAUCACCUUUAGAUCUUUUCACUGUUGUACCAUUCAUUUCAUUUCCACCUCUGUCCAUAGGAGGAAAUAUUUUCCUAUUUUUGCAGAUUGGAGUUUUAAGAUGAGUAAUGAUUUUCACUCUUUCUUAAAUGCGUUUGACAUCAUGAAUGAAAUAUGACUAUGCUGACAAGAGAUGCUUUUUGAGAAGUGUUUCUCAUCUCACUCCAAGGCAAUGAAUCUAUAAAGCAGUAUAUGAAACUACAAUUGGUUGAUCUAGCUCAGGGGUUGUCAAGCUGGUCCCUACUGCCCACUAGUGGGCAUUUCAGGAUUCUAGGUGGGCAGUGUCAGGAGUUCAGCCUACACUUGAGUAGGACCCUGGCAGAGACACAUGCCCGACUGGCAUGUUCUCUCCCUCCUGGUCAAUUUUUCGGGAGCUUCAAAAGCUUUCUUCAGCCCGAACAUCACAGUGACCAAUGCCAACUGAUACCGGCACACUUAGAGAUCUGCAGAGUUUGUGCUGUUGCGUAACAGAACUCAGCAACUCAGCAUUUUGGCUAAUCUACUUCAUUUACAUAUAAACACACACGGAGCACUGCAACAUGGCUCCCUCUCUCUCUAGCAUCAGACAGCAAAGAGAAAAAGAACAAAGGACAAUAGUCCCACUUCAUGGAACACAGUAACAUAAACAUCUUGUCUCCGUCACUUCCCACUCUGUGGAGUCAAAACACAUGCUGUCCUGUGAAAGACAACAAUCCUAUGACUUCAAUCAUGGAUCAGGAUAGGGGGUUCUAUGGCACAAGCUGAAUCCUCCUUCCAUUGAGCACUGGUGGGCGAUAAGGAAAUUUUACCAUCAAGAAAGAUGCAUUAGUGGGUGGUAGGUAUAAAAAGGUUGACUAUCCCUGAUCUAGCUCAUUCUUGUCUAUAAUGAUGGACGGUGAUUCUUCAGGGUUUCAGGGAUGCGUCUUUCCUAGUCCUACCUGGGAAUGCCUGGAAUUCAACUUCAAACCAUUUGCAUAAAGCAUGUGCUCGACGACCAUUGAACAAUGACCCAUUCCUGGCAUACAUGUGUUGGCUUGGAUCACAACUAGGCCCCAUAACUUUUUUGGGGGUGGGGAGGUACUGCAGGAGGUAACUGCAAAGGUGCUGCUGCUGAGACAUUCAUGCCAGUAGAAGCUGAAUUAGGAUCUAAGCUAAUGAAUGUAUAUGUUGUAGAUAAAUGUUCUCCUGGCUUCCACAACAACCUGGGAGAGUGCAAAAGAUUAGGUCAGCAUGUCUGCAUAGUACUUCUACUGAGACUGAUACAAAGUCAUGGCUUGCUUAAAAUACAUAUUAUGUUGGUUUUCAUUUUUAUACAUCAACUGAAUACAUUGAUUCGUGUCUUCAACAGAUGUACUAGAACAUUUUUAAAACAUAGUUUUAAUUGAAGGGUCUAUUUAC